CAGCGAACGUAUCACUUAAAACGAUUCAGAAGCUUACGAUUGACGGAGCGAAGCGACGUCAAAGCGUAUACAAAGUCGAGUCGGUUUAAGGAUACGUUCGUUGGGUAGGGGAGCGUUCUGUAAGCCUGCGAAGGUGGCCUGUGAGGGCUGCUGGAGGUAUCAGAAGUGCGAAUGCUGACAUAAGUAACGAUAAUGCGGGUGAAAAACCCGCACGCCGGAAGACCAAGGGUUCCUGUCCAACGUUAAUCGGGGCAGGGUGAGUCGACCCCUAAGGCGAGGCCGAAAGGCGUAGUCGAUGGGAAACAGGUUAAUAUUCCUGUACUUGGUGUUACUGCGAAGGGGGGACGGAGAAGGCUAUGUUGGCCGGGCGACGGUUGUCCCGGUUUAAGCGUGUAGGCUGACUUUCCAGGCAAAUCCGGAGAGUCAAGGCUGAGGCGUGACGACGAGGCACCACGGUGCUGAAGCAACAAAUGCCCUGCUUCCAGGAAAAGCCUCUAAGCAUCAGGUAACAUCAAAUCGUACCCCAAACCGACACAGGUGGUCAGGUAGAGAAUACCAAGGCGCUUGAGAGAACUCGGGUGAAGGAACUAGGCAAAAUGGUGCCGUAACUUCGGGAGAAGGCACGCUGACACGUAGGUGAAGUGGUUUACCCAUGGAGCUGAAGUCAGUCGAAGAUACCAGCUGGCUGCAACUGUUUAUUAAAAACACAGCACUGUGCAAACACGAAAGUGGACGUAUACGGUGUGACGCCUGCCCGGUGCCGGAAGGUUAAUUGAUGGGGUCAGCGCAAGCGAAGCUCCUGAUCGAAGCCCCGGUAAACGGCGGCCGUAACUAUAACGGUCCUAAGGUAGCGAAAUUCCUUGUCGGGUAAGUUCCGACCUGCACGAAUGGCGUAAUGAUGGCCAGGCUGUCUCCACCCGAGACUCAGUGAAAUUGAACUCGCUGUGAAGAUGCAGUGUACCCGCGGCAAGACGGAAAGACCCCGUGAACCUUUACUAUAGCUUGACACUGAACAUUGAGCCUUGAUGUGUAGGAUAGGUGGGAGGCUUUGAAGCGUGGACGCCAGUCUGCGUGGAGCCGGCCUUGAAAUACCACCCUUUAAUGUUUGAUGUUCUAACGUGGACCCGUAAUCCGGGUUGCGGACAGUGUCUGGUGGGUAGUUUGACUGGGGCGGUCUCCUCCUAAAGAGUAACGGAGGAGCACGAAGGUUGGCUAAUCCUGGUCGGACAUCAGGAGGUUAGUGCAAUGGCAUAAGCCAGCUUGACUGCGAGCGUGACGGCGCGAGCAGGUGCGAAAGCAGGUCAUAGUGAUCCGGUGGUUCUGAAUGGAAGGGCCAUCGCUCAACGGAUAAAAGGUACUCCGGGGAUAACAGGCUGAUACCGCCCAAGAGUUCAUAUCGACGGCGGUGUUUGGCACCUCGAUGUCGGCUCAUCACAUCCUGGGGCUGAAGUAGGUCCCAAGGGUAUGGCUGUUCGCCAUUUAAAGUGGUACGCGAGCUGGGUUUAGAACGUCGUGAGACAGUUCGGUCCCUAUCUGCCGUGGGCGCUGGAGAACUGAGGGGGGCUGCUCCUAGUACGAGAGGACCGGAGUGGACGCAUCACUGGUGUUCGGGUUGUCAUGCCAAUGGCACUGCCCGGUAGCUAAAUGCGGAAGAGAUAAGUGCUGAAAGCAUCUAAGCACGAAACUUGCCCCGAGAUGAGUUCUCCCUGAGACUAUAAGUCUCCUGAAGGAACGUUGAAGACGACGACGUUGAUAGGCCGGGUGUGUAAGCGCAGCGAUGCGUUGAGCUAACCGGUACUAAUGAACCGUGAGG
This 1813-nucleotide ribosomal RNA is filed under the name Salmonella enterica subsp. salamae. RNAcentral's name for it is "partial 23S ribosomal RNA". It matches the Rfam family "Bacterial large subunit ribosomal RNA", at positions 1206 to 2915 of the family's 2925-position model. The record is from RNAcentral. Lineage: Bacteria; Pseudomonadati; Pseudomonadota; Gammaproteobacteria; Enterobacterales; Enterobacteriaceae.